This 1343-nucleotide ribosomal RNA is filed under the name uncultured bacterium. Its description in RNAcentral is "16S ribosomal RNA". It matches the Rfam family "Bacterial small subunit ribosomal RNA", at positions 28 to 1378 of the family's 1533-position model. The record is from RNAcentral.
GACGAACGCUGUCGGCGUGCUUAACACAUGCAAGUCGAACGGAAAGGCCCUGCUUUUGUGGGGUGCUCGAGUGGCGAACGGGUGAGUAACACGUGAGUAACCUGCCCUUGACUUUGGGAUAACUUCAGGAAACUGGGGCUAAUACCGGAUAGGAGCUCCUGCUGCAUGGUGGGGGUUGGAAAGUUUCGGCGGUUGGGGAUGGACUCGCGGCUUAUCAGCUUGUUGGUGGGGUAGUGGCUUACCAAGGCUUUGACGGGUAGCCGGCCUGAGAGGGUGACCGGCCACAUUGGGACUGAGAUACGGCCCAGACUCCUACGGGAGGCAGCAGUGGGGAAUAUUGCACAAUGGGCGGAAGCCUGAUGCAGCAACGCCGCGUGCGGGAUGACGGCCUUCGGGUUGUAAACCGCUUUCGCCUGUGACGAAGCGUGAGUGACGGUAAUGGGUAAAGAAGCACCGGCUAACUACGUGCCAGCAGCCGCGGUGAUACGUAGGGUGCGAGCGUUGUCCGGAUUUAUUGGGCGUAAAGGGCUCGUAGGUGGUUGAUCGCGUCGGAAGUGUAAUCUUGGGGCUUAACCCUGAGCGUGCUUUCGAUACGGGUUGACUUGAGGAAGGUAGGGGAGAAUGGAAUUCCUGGUGGAGCGGUGGAAUGCGCAGAUAUCAGGAGGAACACCAGUGGCGAAGGCGGUUCUCUGGGCCUUUCCUGACGCUGAGGAGCGAAAGCGUGGGGAGCGAACAGGCUUAGAUACCCUGGUAGUCCACGCUGUAAACGGUGGGUACUAGGUGUGGGGUCCAUUCCACGGGUUCCGUGCCGUAGCUAACGCUUUAAGUACCCCGCCUGGGGAGUACGGCCGCAAGGCUAAAACUCAAAGGAAUUGACGGGGCCCCGCACAAGCGGCGGAGCAUGCGGAUUAAUUCGAUGCAACGCGUAGAACCUUACCUGGGUUUGACAUGGAUCGGGAGUGCUCAGAGAUGGGUGUGCCUCUUUUGGGGUCGGUUCACAGGUGGUGCAUGGCUGUCGUCAGCUCGUGUCGUGAGAUGUUGGGUUAAGUCCCGCAACGAGCGCAACCCUUGUUCACUGUUGCCAGCACGUUAUGGUGGGGACUCAGUGGAGACCGCCGGGGUCAACUCGGAGGAAGGUGGGGAUGACGUCAAGUCAUCAUGCCCCUUAUGUCCAGGGCUUCACGCAUGCUACAAUGGCUGGUACAGAGAGUGGCGAGCCUGUGAGGGUGAGCGAAUCUCGGAAAGCCGGUCACAGUUCGGAUUGGGGUCUGCAACUCGACCUCAUGAAGUCGGAGUCGCUAGUAAUCGCAGAUCAGCAACGCUGCGGUGAAUACGUUCCCGGG